RNAcentral lists this ribosomal RNA (658 nucleotides) under uncultured bacterium. Its description in RNAcentral is "bacterial SSU rRNA". It matches the Rfam family "Bacterial small subunit ribosomal RNA", at positions 98 to 743 of the family's 1533-position model. The record is from RNAcentral.
GCGAACGGGUGAGUAACACGUGGGCAACCUGCCCAAAAGAGGGGGAUAACACUUGGAAACAGGUGCUAAUACCGCAUAACCAUAGUUACCGCAUGGUAGCUAUGUAAAAGGUGGCUAUGCUACCGCUUUUGGAUGGGCCCGCGGCGCAUUAGCUAGUUGGUGGGGUAAAGGCUUACCAAGGCAAUGAUGCGUAGCCGAACUGAGAGGUUGAUCGGCCACAUUGGGACUGAGACACGGCCCAAACUCCUACGGGAGGCAGCAGUAGGGAAUCUUCCACAAUGGGCGAAAGCCUGAUGGAGCAACGCCGCGUGGGUGAAGAAGGUCUUCGGAUCGUAAAACCCUGUUGUUAGAGAAGAAAGUGCGUGAGAGUAACUGUUCACGUUUCGACGGUAUCUAACCAGAAAGCCACGGCUAACUACGUGCCAGCAGCCGCGGUAAUACGUAGGUGGCAAGCGUUAUCCGGAUUUAUUGGGCGUAAAGGGAACGCAGGCGGUCUUUUAAGUCUGAUGUGAAAGCCUUCGGCUUAACCGGAGUAGUGCAUUGGAAACUGGGAGACUUGAGUGCAGAAGAGGAGAGUGGAACUCCAUGUGUAGCGGUGAAAUGCGUAGAUAUAUGGAAGAACACCAGUGGCGAAAGCGGCUCUCUGGUCUGUAACUGA